GAUGAAGAACGUAGCGAAAUGCGAUACUUGGUGUGAAUUGCAGAAUCCCGUGAACCAUCGAGUCUUUGAACGCAAGUUGCGCCUCAAGCCAUUAGGUUGAGGGCACGUCUGCCUGGGCGUCACAUAUCGUUGCCUGAUGCCAGUUUCCUCGUGAUGGGUGACUGUGCAGGGCGAAUGAUGGCUUCCCGUGAGCAUUGUUGCCUCAUGGUUGGUUGAAAAUUGAGUCCUUGGUAGGGAGCGCCGUGAUAGGUGGUGGUUGAGUGACGAACGAGACCCAAUCAUGUGAGACCCCUACCGAAUUUGGCCUUCAUGACCCACAUGCGUCUUUGGAACGCUCAUGACGAGACCUCAGGUCAGGCGGGGCUACCCGCUGAGUUUAAGCAUAUCAAUAAGCGGAGGA
This 400-nucleotide unclassified non-coding RNA is filed under the name soil metagenome. RNAcentral's name for it is "partial contains 5.8S ribosomal RNA, internal transcribed spacer 2, and large subunit ribosomal RNA". The stretch from base 1 to 122 matches the Rfam family "5.8S ribosomal RNA", at positions 35 to 154 of the family's 154-position model. The record is from RNAcentral.